AACAAGGCGUACCUGCGGACCUGCGGAGGGAUCAUUACCGAGUUAUACAACUCAUCAACCCUGUGAACAUACCUAUAACGUUGCCUCGGCGGGAACAGACGGCCCCGUAACACGGGCCGCCCCCGCCAGAGGACCCCCUAACUCUGUUUCUAUAAUGUUUCUUCUGAGUAAACAAGCAAAUAAAUUAAAACUUUUAACAAUGGAUCU
This 207-nucleotide unclassified non-coding RNA is filed under the name soil metagenome. RNAcentral's name for it is "partial contains 5.8S ribosomal RNA, internal transcribed spacer 2, and large subunit ribosomal RNA". The record is from RNAcentral.